RNAcentral lists this ribosomal RNA (253 nucleotides) under uncultured bacterium. Its description in RNAcentral is "partial 16S ribosomal RNA". It matches the Rfam family "Bacterial small subunit ribosomal RNA", at positions 524 to 776 of the family's 1533-position model. The record is from RNAcentral.
UACGGGGGGGGUAAGCGUUGUUCGGAAUUACUGGGCGUAAAGGGCUCGUAGGCGGCCAACUAAGUCAUACGUGAAAUCCCUCAGCUUAACUGGGGAACUGCGUGUGAUACUGGAUGGCUUGGAUGUGGGAGAGGGAUGCGGAAUUCCAGGUGUAGCGGUGAAAUGCGUAGAUAUCUGGAGGAACACCGGUGGCGAAGGCGGCAUCCUGGACCAUUAUUGACGCUGAGGCGCGACAGCGUGGGGAGCAAACAGG